This is a long non-coding RNA of Lotus japonicus, 1088 nucleotides long. RefSeq lists it as uncharacterized. NCBI's taxonomy places the organism in Eukaryota, Viridiplantae, Streptophyta, Magnoliopsida, Fabales, Fabaceae. The transcript is spliced from 5 exons. The record is from RefSeq and is a predicted model, not a curated record.
CAGAAAAACCCUAACACACUCAGAAACUUCCUCUCGACUCUCACACUCUCAUGGCCGCCACCGUCUCCUGCUCCAGUGUCGCCACCGUUGUCCUUGUCGGCGCUCCUACUCCACCAUUCGCGUGAAGAGGAGAAGCGGAGCCAGAGGCGGAGUGGCCGAACCCAGGCGGUGGCUGAACCAUAGGAAGUGGAGCCGGCUCCAGAGUCGAUCAUGACGUCGCUCACAUGCCAUCUUCACAAUUACAUUAGAACAGAUGCACAAACUCCAUCCAGCAGUGAUGCUUCGGAUGAGGAUAUGGGUUAAGAAUACCUUUCAGCAAAGUUCCAUUUGGUAGAUCUAGCUGGAUCAGAGAGAGCUAAAAGAACUGGUUCCGAUGGUCUUCGUUUCAAAGGUGUACACAUCAACAAAGGCCUUCUUGCACUAGGUUCAUGUAUCAGCUAUCCUAUGAGUGGGAAUGCAAUCCAAGUAGUUGCCUGGGCUUAAAUCAUAACUGGAAGCAUUGAUCCUUUUCUGCAGAUUUCUAAAAGCUAAUUUUCAACCUGUUUUUCCUCAUCAAGAUUAUGAUUGGCUCGGCAUCAAGCUACUGUUUCCAGGGAGGGCCACUUCUAUAUGCUUUGCUGAAUUAUGACAAGUCCAGCGUGAUUCCUAGCUGGACAUUGUAGCUUUAUACCUUUCUAAUGGACCUUUCAGAAGGAUAAUACAAAUGUCAUAGUUUCUUAGAACAAUGAAGUGUCAAGUUUACCCUGCUGCCAUCUUAUUAAGAUGUCGUGCGCCAAAGUGCUUUGGGUUGGAACUUGCGGUUUCAUCUCCUCUAUAAGCCUCGGCAUCUCUGGAUAGAGGGAACAAUCUGCUUUGUGUUUCCCUUCUGUGGAUGUGAAGCUUCUUGAAUCAAGAGGUACAUCCCUAUCUGUCUAAGUUUGAAGCUACUGAAGGGUUUGACACAUGUGCUUGUGGGUAAAAUCGUUGUUGGGACUUAACUUUAUGGGUUCUCACUAUGAUGAAUUAGAUGCUGAGUUUGAUGACCUUGUAUUUAGAUGAAUAUUUAUGUAUUUGACAUUAAUGUUUUUAAUUAUGCUUUUGACAUUAAA